UCACGAGAAGUAAUUACCUGAUUACCUUUCUUAUCAGCAAAAAAACGCCCUCGACUCAGCAUCGAGGGCGUUUUUAUU
Molecule: unclassified non-coding RNA, 78 nt
Filed under: Yersinia enterocolitica (type O:5) str. YE53/03
Lineage: Bacteria; Pseudomonadati; Pseudomonadota; Gammaproteobacteria; Enterobacterales; Yersiniaceae
Source: RNAcentral